This 74-nucleotide transfer RNA is filed under the name Candidatus Shapirobacteria bacterium CG_4_9_14_0_2_um_filter_39_11. Its description in RNAcentral is "tRNA-Cys". It matches the Rfam family "tRNA". Rfam says of the family: Transfer RNA (tRNA) molecules are approximately 80 nucleotides in length. Lineage: Bacteria; Candidatus Shapironibacteriota. The record is from RNAcentral.
GACCUGGUGGCGGAGUGGCGACGCAGCGGUCUGCAAAACCGCGUACGGGGGUUCGAGUCCCCCCCAGGUCUCCC